GACGGAGGGCGCGAGCGUUGUUCGGAAUCACUGGGCGUAAAGCGCGCGCAGGCGGACUACUUAAGUCUGAAGUGAAAUUCCGGGGCUCAACCCCGGCGCUGCUUCGGAUACUGAGAGUCUGGGGACCGGUAGAGGCCGGUGGAAUUGCUGGUGUAGCGGUGGAAUGCGUAGAGAUCAGCAAGAACACCCGUGGCGAAGGCGGCCGGCUGGGCCGGGUCCGACGCUGAGGCGCGAAAGCGUGGGGAGCAAACAGG
RNAcentral lists this ribosomal RNA (254 nucleotides) under uncultured bacterium. RNAcentral's name for it is "partial 16S ribosomal RNA". It matches the Rfam family "Bacterial small subunit ribosomal RNA", at positions 524 to 776 of the family's 1533-position model. The record is from RNAcentral.